This 1018-nucleotide long non-coding RNA is filed under the name Olea europaea subsp. europaea. Lineage: Eukaryota; Viridiplantae; Streptophyta; Magnoliopsida; Lamiales; Oleaceae. The record is from RNAcentral.
CCUCAUAUUAUUUUGUUAACUAAAUAUCAAUUUGUAUCCCAAGUUCACAAAUUCUGAAUCAUACAUAAUCAAAUAUGAACUUGAAACAAUAAAAACAAUAAUUAAUAAUUAAAAAAGACAAAAAAAAACUAAGGCAUUGAGUAAGUUAUUCUUUUUAAGGGAGUUAAGGCAUUGAGUAAGUUAUUCUUCUGGGUAGGACCAUCCAUUGCAUCUCAAAUUAUGUGUCAAUGUCUCUAACAGGGAACCAGCUCUAAGCAUCUUGACAACAAACAUCAGCAAUAUUUUAGUCUCUAACAAGUGCUGGUAAUAAGUAUUUUCGUUUCAAACAGGUACUCUUGAGACUACCAAUAUUUUAGCAAAAUCCACAGCAAAGCAAAAAAUGGUUCUACAAAAUCACCAAUCAAAUAAUUAACACCUCAAACUGAAUAGAUUUUAAACCUUUCACCAAUCAAAAUUGAUAUAAACUGAAAGUCUAACCUUAAAUUUGUCUUCAACAGGUUUCGUGAUUCAAGAAAUACAUGGAAUGGACAACGAAUGUACAUUAAUAGGAAGAUAAAAAUCUAUCCAAUUCUUGUAAACACCAACUCAAGGGAAUAUAAAGAAUAGCAAAUUAUUAUGUAAAUUUAAUUCCAAAUCCUAAAAGCAUAGAAUUCGAAGCAGUCCACUGCAAUUCUGAAAACCAACUAUAUUAUCUUGUUCUAAAAACAAGAUUCACCACAGGAUUAUUUUUAUGCAAUUAUGCUUUGUAAGAAUAUUAAAUUGCACAAAACAACUAUAUAUUGUUCUAAAAAUUUUGAAAUCCACCACGUGUAUAUUUUCAACUAAUCAAUCAAAAUCUAUUUCCACUGGCUUCAUACUAACCUCUUUUUCUUCCAUCUCUUAAGACUUAAGCUGCAGACGGUAGCGAAGCAGUCGGAUUUUGGAAUGAAGAAUACAGCUUUCCUGGUUAACGUGAAUUGGGGAUUUGGAAAACAGGGUUUUAAAGCAAAAGAAAUAACCCGGUUGGUUCAAUUGCAAA